RNAcentral lists this ribosomal RNA (231 nucleotides) under uncultured bacterium. RNAcentral describes it as "partial 16S ribosomal RNA". It matches the Rfam family "Bacterial small subunit ribosomal RNA", at positions 1272 to 1500 of the family's 1533-position model. The record is from RNAcentral.
CCCUAAAAAGUACGUCUCAGUUCGGAUUGCAGGCUGCAACUCGCCUGCAUGAAGUCGGAAUUGCUAGUAAUCGCAGAUCAGCAUGCUGCGGUGAAUACGUUCCCGGGCCUUGUACACACCGCCCGUCACACCAUGAGAGUUGGCAAUACCCAACGUACGUGAUCUAACCCGCAAGGGAGGAAGCGUCCUAAGGUAGGGUCAGCGAUUGGGGUGAAGUCGUAACAAGGUACC